This 1032-nucleotide unclassified non-coding RNA is filed under the name Leishmania donovani. RNAcentral's name for it is "gene:unknown". Lineage: Eukaryota; Euglenozoa; Kinetoplastea; Trypanosomatida; Trypanosomatidae. The record is from RNAcentral.
GCACGAGCGACGCGCCAUCGUCAGUCGCCCUCAUAGCAUGCAUGCAUGUGCAGCCACCUCCUCCCUGCUCUGCCUUUCCAUCUGGUGCGGCGGACAAUAAAAUCAUCAGCGCCUCCACGCACACACGCCUUCGCUUUUGUAACUUUCUUCAGACGAUUGAUUCCCCCAUCCCUCUGAUGGACGGGGAGACGCCUCCGUGUGCGGUGUUAGUGUCCAAUGCCCCCACUAUCUCUGGGAAAGCCAGUCGGCCCCCUUGUCCAUGCCCGUGCCGAUCCACUUCUGGCAGUGACAGGGUCCAGUGCCUGCGACGCAAAGGAGGUCUGCACGAUACAUCGCUGCGCGUGGUGGCGGUGAGGCCCGUGGAUGGCGUGGCGUCGGAGCAACCUGCGACCGUGAACACGUCUGUGCCAUCCACAUGAUGGGCGAGAUGUCAUCACGACUCGAGCGUGUCCCACCCCCGGCCCUCAUCGUGCCCACCGCUGGUGUGGGGAGGCCCGAGUGCCCCCCCCCCCGAUGGGGCGGGUGCACCGCGUGGCGGCCGGCACAAUGGGAGCGGCUGUGAGGCGACCCGCUCAGGGGGCGGGUGGGCAGCGUUUGGGGCUGGGGCCGUGCUCCGAUGACGGAGUCGGCGCACUGCUCUACCGGCGUGUGCUUCGGCUGCUGCUGCUGCUGCUGCUUCGCACCACGCAGUCGGGAGGUGGGGGGCUGUGACAGGGUCGGACGUAGAGGCCCGUGGAGUGUAUUUUUAUACGGCAGUGCAGUUUACGCGCGUCAUACCUAUCUAUAUCUAUAUAUAUAUAUAUAUAUAUAUAUGCAUACACGCACAUGUGGCACAUUCGGUUCGUGAAAUGUACAUUUUGUUGUUGUUUGGAACUUUCGCUGUGGAGCCGCAGCGGGCAUUCAUCAUCUCGUAGAGCUCGCUUGUCCUCCCUCUCUCCGUCGCUCUCACCCCUUCGCUCGGAGCUGUCACUACAGAGCUGAUCCUCUCAACAUCCAGCCCCCAGGCAUAUCUCCCUUUCACCUCUGCCGUUG